UACGUAGGGGGCAAGCGUUGUCCGGAAUCAUUGGGCGUAAAGCGCGCGUAGGCGGCCCGGUAAGUCCGUUGUGAAAGUCAAAGGCUCAACCUUUGAACGCCGAUGGAUACUGCCGGGCUAGAGUCCGGAAGAGGCGAGUGGAAUUCCUGGUGUAGCGGUGAAAUGCGUAGAUAUCAGGAGGAACACCGGUGGUGUAAACGGCUUUCUGGACCGUAACUGACGCUGAGGCACGAAAGCGUGGGUAGCAAACAGG
RNAcentral lists this ribosomal RNA (253 nucleotides) under uncultured bacterium. Its description in RNAcentral is "partial 16S ribosomal RNA". It matches the Rfam family "Bacterial small subunit ribosomal RNA", at positions 524 to 776 of the family's 1533-position model. The record is from RNAcentral.